GCCGUCUUAGCUCAUUUGGUAGAGCAACUCCAUGGUAAGGAGUAGGUGCUGGGUUCAAAUCCCAGAGACGGCU
This 73-nucleotide transfer RNA is filed under the name Candidatus Uhrbacteria bacterium RIFCSPLOWO2_02_FULL_49_11. RNAcentral describes it as "tRNA-Thr". It matches the Rfam family "tRNA". Rfam says of the family: Transfer RNA (tRNA) molecules are approximately 80 nucleotides in length. The record is from RNAcentral. Lineage: Bacteria; Candidatus Uhriibacteriota.